This 418-nucleotide ribosomal RNA is filed under the name uncultured eukaryote. RNAcentral's name for it is "SSU rRNA". It matches the Rfam family "Eukaryotic small subunit ribosomal RNA", at positions 567 to 990 of the family's 1831-position model. The record is from RNAcentral.
CCAGCAGCUGCGGUAAUUCCAGCUCCAAUAGCGUAUAUUUAAGUUGCUGCAGUUAAAAAGCUCGUAGUUGGAUUUCGGGUGGGUCCUGCCGGUCCGCCGUUUCGGUGUGCACUUGCAGGUCCCACCUUGUUGCCGGGGACGUGUUCCUGGGCUUCACUGUCCGGGACACGGAGUCGGUGAGGUUACUUUGAGUAAAUUAGAGUGUUCAAAGCAAGCGUUCGCUAUGAAUACAUUAGCAUGGAAUAACAUGAUAGGACUCUGGCUUAUCUUGUUGGUCUGUAAGACCGGAGUAAUGAUUAAGAGGGACAGUCGGGGGCAUUCGUAUUUCAUUGUCAGAGGUGAAAUUCUUGGAUUUAUGAAAGACGAACUUCUGCGAAAGCAUUUGCCAAGGAUGUUUUCAUCAAUCAAGAACGAAAGU